CCGAGUUACAACUCCCAAACCCCUGUGAACAUACCACUUGUUGCCUCGGCGGAUCAGCCCGCUCCCGGUAAAACGGGACGGCCCGCCAGAGGACCCCUAAAACUCUGUUUCUAUAUGUAACUUCUGAGUAAAACCAUAAAUAAAUCAA
RNAcentral lists this unclassified non-coding RNA (148 nucleotides) under soil metagenome. Its description in RNAcentral is "partial internal transcribed spacer 1". The record is from RNAcentral.